RNAcentral lists this ribosomal RNA (253 nucleotides) under uncultured bacterium. RNAcentral's name for it is "partial 16S ribosomal RNA". It matches the Rfam family "Bacterial small subunit ribosomal RNA", at positions 524 to 776 of the family's 1533-position model. The record is from RNAcentral.
UACGAAGGUGGCUAGCGUUACUCGGAAUUACUGGGCGUAAAGGGCUCGUAGGCGGCCAACUAAGUCAGACGUGAAAUCCCUCGGCUUAACCGGGGAACUGCGUCUGAUACUGGAUGGCUAGAGUUUGGGAGAGGGAUGCGGAAUUCCCGGUGUAGCGGUGAAAUGCGUAGAUAUCGGGAGGAACAUCAGUGGCGAAGGCGGCUACCUGGCCCAAUACUGACACUCAGGUGCGACAGCGUGGGGAGCAAACAGG